CCUACGGGUGGCUGCAGUGGGGGAUAGUGCACAAUGGGGGAAACCCUGAUGCAGCGACGCCGCGUGGGUGAAGAAGAGCCUCGGCGCGGAAAGCCCUGUCAGCAGGGAAGAAAAGGACGGUACCUGAAGAAGAAGCCCCGGCUAACUACGGGCCAGCAGCCGCGGUAAUACGUAGGGGGCAAGCGUUAUCCGGAUUGACUGGGUGUAAAGGGGGCGAAGACGGCGAUGCAAGCCAGGAGUGAAAGCCCGGGGCCCAACCCCGGGACUGCUCUUGGAACGGCGUGGCUCGCGUCCAGGAGGGCCCGGCGGCCUUCCUGUUGUCGCGGUUAACUGCGUAGAUAUCCGGA
This 347-nucleotide ribosomal RNA is filed under the name uncultured bacterium. RNAcentral's name for it is "partial 16S ribosomal RNA". It matches the Rfam family "Bacterial small subunit ribosomal RNA", at positions 338 to 702 of the family's 1533-position model. The record is from RNAcentral.